This 288-nucleotide ribosomal RNA is filed under the name Hemimysis margalefi. RNAcentral describes it as "partial 16S ribosomal RNA". The record is from RNAcentral. Lineage: Eukaryota; Metazoa; Arthropoda; Malacostraca; Mysida; Mysidae.
GUUACACAAGAUCUAAAUUGUCUCUUAAGUUAACCUGAACCUGAGAUUUUUGUAAAAACGCAAAAUAUCCUCUAAGGGACGAUAAGACCCUAUAAAUUUUAGUAAAAAGUUUAAUUUAAGAAAUUCACACUUUAAUUUACUUAGUUGGGGCAACACAAAUAUUUAAAUUGUUUGAGUUUAACCCACUUUAAGUGAUUCCAAAAGCCAAUAAAUUGCACAAGAGAAAAAUACUUUAGGGAUAACAGCGUUAUUACUUUGAAGAGCCCGCAUCAAUAAAGUAGUUUGCGA